Molecule: long non-coding RNA, 460 nt
Filed under: Setaria viridis
Lineage: Eukaryota; Viridiplantae; Streptophyta; Magnoliopsida; Poales; Poaceae
Description: long non-coding RNA (SVIR_LNC004675)
Source: RNAcentral
GGCGCGGGAGGGAGGGAGUCACGGUGUGGGGGCCUCGGGAGAAAUAGAAUCAAACUAUUUUUUGUGUAACUAGUGGCAUUGGUGGGUAAUUACCCCUCAACUCCACGAGGAGGUUCAGAAGAGGUGGUUUUGGAGCUGCAAAAGAUGUACUCCAAAACUCCACCCCCAUUUGCACUACAGCUUCAUGGAGUUGGUAGCCUCAUGGAGUUUUGGAGCUGGGGUGUUUGGCUGCAAUCUUUUGCUGAAGUUGCUGGAGUUCAGCUACAGAGCCAUGCCAAACAGGACCUAAUUAUUUCCUCCUGGGCUGCUUGCCCCUGCCUGAGAACUUCCAAACAGUGACGGGGGAGAGAGCCCAAAAAAACCCUCUAGUGGAUGGGAUUUGAAAUAAAAGAAAUCUCGUAGGAGCAUUUCUUCCCUGAGCUAAUCAGCUCUGUACUUCCAAAGGAGCCCUAAAGUAAAG